RNAcentral lists this ribosomal RNA (253 nucleotides) under uncultured bacterium. Its description in RNAcentral is "partial 16S ribosomal RNA". It matches the Rfam family "Bacterial small subunit ribosomal RNA", at positions 524 to 776 of the family's 1533-position model. The record is from RNAcentral.
GACAGAGGGGGCAAGCGUUGCUCGGAAUCACUGGGCGUAAAGGGCGCGUAGGCGGGAUGGCAAGUCAGUCGUGAAAUCUCUCGGCUCAACCGAGAAACGUCGGCUGAUACUGCCGUUCUUGAGGGAUGCAGAGGAGACUGGAAUUCCCGGUGUAGCGGUGAAAUGUGUAGAGAUCGGGGGGAACACCGGUGGCGAAGACGGGUUGCUGGGCCAACACUGACGCUGAUGCGCGAAAGCCAGGGGAGCAAACGGG